ACAAACGCUGGCGGCGUGCCUAACACAUGCAAGUCGUACGAGAAAGUCGGCUUCGGCCGAUGAGUACAGUGGCGCACGGGUGAGUAGCGCGUGGGUAAUCUGCCCCCCGGUCAGGAAUAACCCGCCGAAAGGCGGGCUAAUACCCGAUAACACUGACGCUCCGCGGAGCGUCUUUCAAAGGAGGCCUCUGUUUACAAGCUUUCGCCGGAGGAUGAGCCCGCGUACCAUUAGCUAGUUGGCAGGGUAAUGGCCUACCAAGGCUGCGAUGGUUAGCUGGUCUGAGAGGAUGGCCAGCCACACUGGAACUGAGACACGGUCCAGACUCCUACGGGAGGCAGCAGUGAGGAAUCUUGCGCAAUGGGGGAAACCCUGACGCAGCAACGCCGCGUGAGUGAGGAAGGCCUUCGGGUCGUAAAGCUCUGUCAGAUGGGAAGAAAUGGGUGGGGGCUAAUAUCGCCCAUCCUUGACGGUACCAUCAGAGGAAGCACCGGCUAACUCCGUG
This 502-nucleotide ribosomal RNA is filed under the name uncultured bacterium. RNAcentral's name for it is "bacterial SSU rRNA". It matches the Rfam family "Bacterial small subunit ribosomal RNA", at positions 29 to 507 of the family's 1533-position model. The record is from RNAcentral.